Molecule: non-coding RNA, 110 nt
Organism: Acanthosepion pharaonis
Lineage: Eukaryota; Metazoa; Mollusca; Cephalopoda; Sepiida; Sepiidae
Source: the annotation of a GenBank genome assembly
ACAGCCAUAUCAAGUUGAAACACCGAUUCCCAUAUGAUAACCAAAGUUAAGCAAUGUAGAGUCUGGUCAGUACCUAGAUGGGUGACCACUUUAGGAAUACCACAUGCAGU